GAUGAACGCUAGCUACAGGCUUAACACAUGCAAGUCGAGGGGAAACGAUAGAGAAAGCUUGCUUUUUCUAGGCGUCGACCGGCGCACAGGUGAGUAACGCGUAUCCAACCUGCCCACCACUUGGGGAUAACCUUGCGAAAGUAAGACUAAUACCCAAUGAUAUCUCAAGAAGACAUCUGAAUGAGAUUAAAGAUUUAUCGGUGAUGGAUGGGGAUGCGUCUGAUUAGCUUGUUGGCGGGGUAACGGCCCACCAAGGCGACGAUCAGUAGGGGUUCUGAGAGGAAGGUCCCCCACAUUGGAACUGAGACACGGUCCAAACUCCUACAGGAGGCAGCAGUGAGGAAUAUUGGUCAAUGGGCGAGAGCCUGAACCAGCCAAGUAGCGUGCAGGAUGACGGCCCUAUGGGUUGUAAACUGCUUUUAUAAGGGGAUAAAGUGAGUCUCGUGAGAUUUUUGCAUGUACCUUAUGAAUAAGGACCGGCUAAUUCCGUGCCAGCAGCCGCCGUAA
This 507-nucleotide ribosomal RNA is filed under the name uncultured bacterium. RNAcentral's name for it is "partial 16S ribosomal RNA". It matches the Rfam family "Bacterial small subunit ribosomal RNA", at positions 28 to 523 of the family's 1533-position model. The record is from RNAcentral.